GACAACGCUGGCGGCGUGCCUAAUACAUGCAAGUCGAGCGCAGGAAACAAGUAGAUCCCUUCGGGGUGACGCUUGUGGAAUGAGCGGCGACGGGUGAGUAACACGUGGGCAACCUACCUUGUAGACUGGGAUAACUCCGGGAAACCGGAGCUAAUACCGAAUAACCCAUUUUGCUUCAUGGCGAGAUGUUGAAAGACGGUUUCGGCUGUCACUACAAGAUGGGCCCGCGGCGCAUUAGCUAGUUGGUGGGUAAGGGCUUACCAAGGCGACGAUCGGUAGCUGGUCUGAGAGGAUGGUCAGCCACACUGGGACUGAGAUACGGCCCAGACUCCUACGGGAGGCAGCAGCAAGGGAUCUUGCGCAAUGGGCGAAAGCCUGACGCAGCAACGCCGCGUGGGUGAAGAAGGCCUUCGGGUUGUAAAGCCCUUUUCUCGGGGAAGAGGAAGGACGGUACCCGAGGAAUAAGCCUCGGCUAACUACGUG
This 483-nucleotide ribosomal RNA is filed under the name uncultured bacterium. RNAcentral describes it as "bacterial SSU rRNA". It matches the Rfam family "Bacterial small subunit ribosomal RNA", at positions 32 to 507 of the family's 1533-position model. The record is from RNAcentral.